GUUCGAGUAGUGUAGUGGUUUAUCACGCCAGUCUCACAUGAAACUCUCCUUUUCCCCCUUUUCGGGGGUGAGGUAGAUAUGUAUGUAUACACUGGAUGUCCUGGGUUCGAACCCCAGCUCGAACA
Biscogniauxia sp. FL1348 is the source of this 125-nucleotide non-coding RNA. The record is from the annotation of a GenBank genome assembly. Lineage: Eukaryota; Fungi; Ascomycota; Sordariomycetes; Xylariales; Xylariaceae.